UACGGGGGGGGCAAGCGUUGUUCGGAAUUACUGGGCGUAAAGGGCGCGUAGGCGGCCUUCUAAGUCGGACGUGAAAUCCCUCGGCUUAACCGAGGAACUGCGUCCGAUACUGAAAGGCUUGAAUCCGGGAGAGGGAUGUGGAAUUCCAGGUGUAGCGGUGAAAUGCGUAGAUAUCUGGAGGAACACCGGUGGCGAAGGCGGCAUCCUGGACCGGCAUUGACGCUGAGGCGCGAAGGCGUGGGGAGCGAACGGG
This 253-nucleotide ribosomal RNA is filed under the name uncultured bacterium. RNAcentral's name for it is "partial 16S ribosomal RNA". It matches the Rfam family "Bacterial small subunit ribosomal RNA", at positions 524 to 776 of the family's 1533-position model. The record is from RNAcentral.